UACGUAGGCAGCAAGCGUUGUUCGGAGUUACUGGGCGUAAAGGGUGUGUAGGCGGUUCUUUAAGUUUGGUGUGAAAUCUCCCGGCUCAACUGGGAGGGUGCGCCGAAUACUGAGGGACUAGAGUACGGGAGAGGAAAGUGGAAUUCCUGGUGUAGCGGUGAAAUGCGCAGAUAUCAGGAAGAACACCCGUGGCGAAGGCGGCUCUCUGGGACGGUACUGACGCUGAGACGCGAAAGCGUGGGGAGCGAACAGG
RNAcentral lists this ribosomal RNA (253 nucleotides) under uncultured bacterium. RNAcentral's name for it is "partial 16S ribosomal RNA". It matches the Rfam family "Bacterial small subunit ribosomal RNA", at positions 524 to 776 of the family's 1533-position model. The record is from RNAcentral.